AGUGAACGCUGGCGGUAGGCCUAACACAUGCAAGUCGAACGGCAGCACAGUAAGAGCUUGCUCUUACGGGUGGCGAGUGGCGGACGGGUGAGGAAUACAUCGGAAUCUACUUUUUCGUGGGGGAUAACGUAGGGAAACUUACGCUAAUACCGCAUACGACCUACGGGUGAAAGCAGGGGAUCUUCGGACCUUUCGCGAUUGAAUGAGCCGAUGUCGGAUUAGCUAGUUGGCGGGGUAAAGGCCCACCAAGGCGACGAUCCGUAGCUGGUCUGAGAGGAUGAUCAGCCACACUGGAACUGAGACACGGUCCAGACUCCUACGGGAGGCAGCAGUGGGGAAUAUUGGACAAUGGGCGCAAGCCUGAUCCAGCAAUACCGCGUGGGUGAAGAAGGCCUUCGGGUUGUAAAGCCCUUUUGUUGGGAAAGAAAAGCAGCAGGUGAAUACCCCGCUGUUCUGACGGUACCCAAAGAAUAAGCACCGGCUAACUUCGUG
This 492-nucleotide ribosomal RNA is filed under the name uncultured bacterium. Its description in RNAcentral is "partial 16S ribosomal RNA". It matches the Rfam family "Bacterial small subunit ribosomal RNA", at positions 29 to 507 of the family's 1533-position model. The record is from RNAcentral.